This is a non-coding RNA of Deltaproteobacteria bacterium RBG_19FT_COMBO_56_10, 176 nucleotides long. Lineage: Bacteria; Deltaproteobacteria. The record is from Rfam.
UUUUUUUAAACAAGACGGUCAAAGACAGUAGGGGCGCGAGCUUAAUAAUCCUACCGAGGCCAGAGAAGGCGAUUCGGGAGAACGGGGUAAACCGGGCUCCGCGGUGCGGGGGGUAGUAUUCCUUCGCGCCGGUCACUAUUUUAGGCCUUCGCAGCUCUCUGUCUUUUGAUUGAUAA